UGUGUAUAAGAAAUCCAUUUC
RNAcentral lists this non-coding RNA (21 nucleotides) under Caenorhabditis elegans. Lineage: Eukaryota; Metazoa; Nematoda; Chromadorea; Rhabditida; Rhabditidae. The record is from RNAcentral.